UAGGGUUGGAACUGGGCUAGGCUGGGCCAGACCAUACCUCUAUCCGAGCCGGACUCGAGAAAAUCUUUCGGGCUUUGAGCCGGGCUUAGGCCUUGUUAUUUUGGAAACAAAUGGGCCCGAGCCCGGCCCGAGCCCAAGCUCAAGUCAAGCCCGAACCCGAUUGGGCCAACCCGAGCCUAGGCCCGGGUGUGCUCGCAGCCACGAUCACUACAAUCAGGGUGGGGGGCUCGUUCUUUGGCAGCACGGAGAGAACAGAGAGCGGAGAUGACCUCGGUGGCAAUCUGGAGGUAGCGGAGAGCAAAGGAGGUGGGCUUCAUCGUCGAUGACGAUGUAGAGAGUGGAGAUGGCAUCGAUGGCAGUCUGGAGGCAAUGGAGGAAAGGGGAGACGAUGACAUGGUGGAUGGGGAAGCCGAGGGUCCUUAGUCUCUUCCCACUUUCUGCGGUGGAUGGGGAGAUGAUGACACGGUGUAUACCUUCUCCUCACGGCUACUGGCCACCAGCCAUCGACCGCCGCAUGAUCUCUGCCUCCUCGAAGUGAAUGAAAGCGGAAUUCUUGCUCACCGACUUCUUCAUCUGCCCCCUUCCCCCUGGCUUCUUCUCCUCCUCCCCCAGCUUCUCUUGCGAGUCUGACUAGCACCGAUUGAAGUGGUGCUGCUAUUGCUCCCUGCCUGUGGA
Molecule: long non-coding RNA, 675 nt
Filed under: Elaeis guineensis (African oil palm)
Lineage: Eukaryota; Viridiplantae; Streptophyta; Magnoliopsida; Arecales; Arecaceae
Description: long non-coding RNA (EGUI_LNC070276)
Source: RNAcentral